Molecule: transfer RNA, 72 nt
Filed under: Bos taurus (domestic cattle)
Lineage: Eukaryota; Metazoa; Chordata; Mammalia; Artiodactyla; Bovidae
Also listed under: 2 other names
Rfam family: tRNA
About the family: Transfer RNA (tRNA) molecules are approximately 80 nucleotides in length.
Source: Rfam by way of RNAcentral
UCCCUUGUGGCUCAGAUGGUAAAGCGUCUGCCUACAGUGCAGGAGACCUGGGUUCGAUUCCUGGGUUGGGAA